RNAcentral lists this transfer-messenger RNA (381 nucleotides) under Deltaproteobacteria bacterium RIFCSPHIGHO2_02_FULL_40_28. It matches the Rfam family "transfer-messenger RNA". From Rfam's summary of the family: Bacterial tmRNA, also known as 10Sa RNA or SsrA, is named for its dual tRNA and mRNA-like properties. Its role is to liberate the mRNA from a stalled ribosome. Lineage: Bacteria; Deltaproteobacteria. The record is from RNAcentral. RNAcentral also lists the same sequence under 4 other names.
GGGGGCGACAAGGUUUCGACGGGGAUUGACAAACUAGUAAGUUGCAGGUCGAGUUGAAGGCACUCGUUAAACGACUUCACACUUAUAACUGCCAAUACAAACUUGGCUGCUAUCAACACCAAUCAGGUGGCGGUAGCAUUGGCUGCCUAAUAAAGGCGGCCCGUUUGUGCCGUUUAUGCCCGCGACGCGGUGCAAAUGCAAAACAGUGGGCUCGCCAAUUUUUCGUGUCUGUUGAAAAAUUUGGUUAAAACCUAGCAGGCUUAGUUUUCUGGUACCCGCCAUGGGGUGAACAAGAGAGCGAAACAACAUUCCACGGAUAAACCUGUAGAUGCUUCUAGCGCGCAUUCUCGGACCCGGGUUCGAUUCCCGGCGCCUCCACCC